Molecule: long non-coding RNA, 949 nt
Organism: Camelus dromedarius (Arabian camel)
Lineage: Eukaryota; Metazoa; Chordata; Mammalia; Artiodactyla; Camelidae
Exons: 3
Source: RefSeq, a predicted model, not a curated record
AAUACAGCAGUAAUGAAGAUUAACUGUAAGUAAUUGCCGUGAAACUGACUGACUGAGGCUAAAGGAAGACAGAUGAUUCAUAUUUAACUUAUUUAUCUGGUACCGACUUCCUGUUCUAACUAAUCAUGCAGAGGCAUAUGGUUAUGAAUAUUCAGAAGUUUUUUUAAUGGCUUAAUAAUCUUUCUUCCUUUGUUUCUAGGAACAGACAUCGCAACACACACUGAAAUAGAGGCUCGCACGUGUCGGAAGCAGAUAAAGUAAUAUAUCAUGUGCUGAUCUCCCAUCGCACCACAAAGGUGGGCCAGCCAUCAAAGGAAAAGCACCACUCCCAUCUGCAUUUUAAUGCAGAAAGAACACAGAGCUGGCUUAGCCUGGACUCUUUGGAUUAAAGAAAAAUUUCGACUUCACUGCGAGCCACCACACGCAAGAGCAUGUCACAGAACUAUUCAGAAAUAGAUAGUCAGUUAGCUCCGAGUGUCCCAGCACGGCGCGUCUGCUCGCUGCUUUCCCCUGAGGAGAAGGAAGUUCACCUGGAGUGAAGAGCAAGAUGCUGGUUUUGCUUCACGUCUGACAAGAUUCACCUAUGCCGCAGUCAAGAACAGCUUUCAUGAAACCAGAGUGGAAAGAUACUUCUUUCAGAAUCCUCUAUCAGGGGUUGAGAAAAAAACCAUUGAAUUGCUAUUCUAAUGGUCAAAAAAGGAAAAGCAAGGAAGAUCUUGAAGAAAGAACUAUCAGAAAGAUCACAUCCGUAUUCCUGAAAUAAUUACACAAUCUGAUUAAAUGCCAAGCUGAAUUGGACUUGCAAUAUUUUAGAAAAAAGAAGAUUGUUGUGGAGGCCAGCUUAAGGUCUAAAUAUUCACUGCAUCAGAAAAUAGGCAUCUUAAUCUCAGACAUGAUUUUAGGUAUGUCCUUUUGUAACAAAGAGACCUAAGGUCAAGUUCAAACAGGA